GGGGAAUAUUGGACAAUGGGCGAAAGCCUGAUCCAGCAAUGCCGCGUGAGUGAUGAAGGCCUUAGGGUUGUAAAGCCCUUUUGUCCGGAAAGAAAAGCUUCGGGUUAAUACCCCGGGGUCCUGACGGUACCGGAAGAAUAAGCACCGGCUAACUUCGUGCCAGCAGCCGCGGUAAUACGGAGGGGGCUAGCGUUGUUCGGAUUUACUGGGCGUAAAGCGCACGUAGGCGGAUCGUUAAGUCGGGGGUGAAAUCCUGGAGCUCAACUCCAGAACUGCCUUCGAUACUGGCGAUCUUGAGUCCGGAAGAGGUGAGUGGAACUCCUAGUGUAGAGGUGGAAUUCGUAGAUAUUAGGAAGAACACCAGUGGCGAAGGCGGCUCACUGGUCCGGUACUGACGCUGAGGUGCGAAAGCGUGGGGAGCAAAC
This 425-nucleotide ribosomal RNA is filed under the name uncultured bacterium. RNAcentral describes it as "bacterial SSU rRNA". It matches the Rfam family "Bacterial small subunit ribosomal RNA", at positions 356 to 773 of the family's 1533-position model. The record is from RNAcentral.